RNAcentral lists this ribosomal RNA (506 nucleotides) under uncultured bacterium. Its description in RNAcentral is "bacterial SSU rRNA". It matches the Rfam family "Bacterial small subunit ribosomal RNA", at positions 40 to 518 of the family's 1533-position model. The record is from RNAcentral.
CGGCGUGCUUAACACAUGCAAGUCGAACGAAGACUCCUAAACCUGAGAUUCGGUCAAGGGCGAGGGAUGACUUAGUGGCGGACGGGUGAGUAAUGCGUGAGCAACCUGCCCUUCAGAGGGGGACAACAGCUGGAAACGGCUGCUAAUACCGCAUAAAGUACAGAUGAGGCAUCUCGACUGUACCAAAGAUUUAUCGCUGAAGGAUGGGCUCACGUCUGAUUAGCUAGUUGGUGAGGUAAUGGCUCACCAAGGCUGCGAUCAGUAGCCGGACUGAGAGGUUGGCCGGCCACAUUGGGACUGAGAUACGGCCCAGACUCCUACGGGAGGCAGCAGUGGGGAAUAUUGGGCAAUGGACGAAAGUCUGACGGAGCAACGCCGCGUGAGUGAAGAAAAGGUUUUCGGAUCGUAAAACUCUGUUGUCAGAGAAGAACAAGUUGGAGAGUAACUGCUCCAGCCUUGACGGUAUCUGACCAGAAAGCCACGGCUAACUACGUGCCAGCAGCCGC